GGCGCUUUGGUCUAGUGGUAUGAUACCUGCUUCGGGUGUAGGUGGCCCCCAGUUCAACCCUGGGAAGCGCCC
RNAcentral lists this transfer RNA (72 nucleotides) under Pseudocercospora fijiensis CIRAD86. RNAcentral's name for it is "tRNA-Pro (CGG) (tRNA-Pro-CGG-1-1)". It matches the Rfam family "tRNA". Rfam says of the family: Transfer RNA (tRNA) molecules are approximately 80 nucleotides in length. Their secondary structure includes four short double-helical elements and three loops (D, anti-codon, and T loops). Further hydrogen bonds mediate the characteristic L-shaped molecular structure. tRNAs have two regions of fundamental functional importance: the anti-codon, which is responsible for specific mRNA codon recognition, and the 3' end, to which the tRNAs corresponding amino acid is attached (by aminoacyl-tRNA synthetases). tRNAs cope with the degeneracy of the genetic code in two manners: having more than one tRNA (with a specific anti-codon) for a particular amino acid; and 'wobble' base-pairing, i.e. permitting non-standard base-pairing at the 3rd anti-codon position. Lineage: Eukaryota; Fungi; Ascomycota; Dothideomycetes; Mycosphaerellales; Mycosphaerellaceae. The record is from RNAcentral.